RNAcentral lists this ribosomal RNA (384 nucleotides) under uncultured bacterium. RNAcentral describes it as "bacterial SSU rRNA". It matches the Rfam family "Bacterial small subunit ribosomal RNA", at positions 32 to 426 of the family's 1533-position model. The record is from RNAcentral.
AAUCAACGCUGGCGGCGCGCUUAACACAUGCAAGUCGCACGAGAAAGUGGAGCAAUCCAUGAGUAAAGUGGCGUACGGGUGAGUAACACGUGGAUCAUCUACCUCUUGGUGGGGAAUAACCUUGGGAAACCGGGGCUAAUACCGCAUAAGCCUGGAAAGGGAAAGCAGCAAUGCGCCGAGAGAGGAGUCCGCGGCCGAUUAGCUAGUUGGUAGGGUAAUGGCCUACCAAGGCAAUGAUCGGUAGCCGGCCUGAGAGGGCACACGGCCACACUGGCACUGAAACACGGGCCAGACUCCUACGGGAGGCAGCAGUGGGGAAUCUUGCACAAUGGGGGAAACCCUGAUGCAGCGACGCCGCGUGAGCGAUGAAGCCCUUCGGGGUGU